Molecule: ribosomal RNA, 711 nt
Filed under: uncultured bacterium
Lineage: Bacteria
Description: bacterial SSU rRNA
Rfam family: Bacterial small subunit ribosomal RNA
Source: RNAcentral
UGNUCUGUCACUGACGCUGAGGCUNGAAAGCGUGGGUAGCGAACAGGAUUAGAUACCCUGGUAGUNCACGCCGUAAACGAUGAGUGCUAGGUGUUAGGCCCUUUCCGGGGCUUAGUGCCGGAGCUAACGCAAUAAGCACUCCGCCUGGGAAGUACGACCGCAGGGUUGAAACUCAAAGGAAUUGACGGGGGCCCGCACGAGCGGUGGAGCAUGUGGUUUAAUUCGAAGCAACGCGAAGAACCUUACCAGGUCUUGACAUCCCGAUGCUAUUCUUAGAGAUAGGAAGUUACUUCGGUACAUCGGAGACAGGUGGUGCAUGGUUGUCGUCAGCUCGUGUCGUGAGAUGUUGGGUUAAGUCCCGCAACGAGCGCAACCCUUAUUGUUAGUUGCCAUCAUUAAGUUGGGCACUCUAGCGAGACUGCCGGUAAUAAACCGGAGGAAGGUGGGGAUGACGUCAAAUCAUCAUGCCCCUUAUGACCUGGGCUACACACGUGCUACAAUGGUCGGUACAACGAGUUGCGAGCCGGUGACGGCAAGCUAAUCUCUGAAAGCCGAUCUCAGUUCGGAUUGGAGGCUGCAACUCGCCUCCAUGAAGUCGGAAUCGCUAGUAAUCGCGGAUCAGCACGCCGCGGUGAAUACGUUCCCGGGCCUUGUACACACCGCCCGUCACACCACGAGAGUUUGUAACACCCGAAGUCGGUGAGGUANCCU